GACGGGACCCGCACAAGCGGUGGAUGAUGUGGAUUAAUUCGAUGCAACGCGAAAACCUUACCUACCCUUGACAUGUCCGGAAUCCGAAGAGAUUUGGGAGUGCUCGCAAGAGAACCGGAACACAGGUGCUGCAUGGCUGUCGUCAGCUCGUGUCGUGAGAUGUUGGGUUAAGUCCCGCAACGAGCGCAACCCUUGUCAUUAGUUGCCAUCAUUUGGUUGGGCACUCUAAUGAGACUGCCGGUGACAAACCGGAGGAAGGUGGGGAUGACGUCAAGUCCUCAUGGCCCUUAUGGGUAGGGCUUCACACGUCAUACAAUGGUCGGUACAGAGGGUUGCCAACCCGCGAGGGGGAGCUAAUCCCACAAAGCCGAUCGUAGUCCGGAUCGCAGUCUGCAACUCGACUGCGUGAAGUUGGAAUCGCUAGUAAUCGUGGAUCAGCAUGUCACGGUGAAUACGUUCCCGGGUCUU
Molecule: ribosomal RNA, 468 nt
Filed under: uncultured Rhodocyclaceae bacterium
Lineage: Bacteria; Pseudomonadati; Pseudomonadota; Betaproteobacteria; Rhodocyclales; Rhodocyclaceae
Description: bacterial SSU rRNA
Rfam family: Bacterial small subunit ribosomal RNA
Source: RNAcentral